Molecule: non-coding RNA, 2393 nt
Organism: Coturnix japonica (Japanese quail)
Lineage: Eukaryota; Metazoa; Chordata; Aves; Galliformes; Phasianidae
Source: RefSeq, a predicted model, not a curated record
CGGCCGGGCGGGGGGCGCCGGUGCCGCUCCCGGUGUGUUCCGCACUCAGACAAAGGCGGCUCUAUGGGGGCGGCGGCUCAUAACGUUGGUGGUGCCGGGAGCCGCCCGGAGCUCUGUCAGCCGGGAGGGUGCCCUGGGGUCGCGGGGUCGGGGUGUGCCGUUAUCGGGCCUCCCGCAAGACGCGGCUUCGGAGCCCGUCGGAGUGUGCGGAGGAACGCUCGGAUAUCGGGGUUCUAUGCCGCGGAGAAACAAACGGUAGAGAACUCUAUUCGGUCAGAUGUCGGGUGUUUGCUGGCUGUCCCUGCUGCUGUUGUUGGCGAGAUCUUAGCCGGGCCCUGGGUGCCACCAGCAAGUGCAUUGUGUGCUGGGGAGGCUGCACCAGCCGCGCCUCUUGGGCAGCUCCGCUUUUUGUUGUGAGCCGUUAAUGUGUUCCGAUUGCAGAAGAGGUUCGUGUAAACGGGACGGGAUUUGGGGCAGUGAGGAGUCUGUGCGGCUCCUCUAAGUGAGCAGUGUCAGCACUCAGCCUGGCUUGGUGUUUUUCUGUGAGUCUCAGUAAGUCAGCGUAAAUACGAUGGUUGUUUCCUGUGAGAAAAGGAAGAACGCUCAGAUUCAGAGAGCAGAAUAGCCCUGGCUGAAAGCUAUUUCAAUAUAAUGACUGUAGGGAACCUGGGCUGCUCAGAAUUGUGCUCACAGAACAGGAAGGGUCUAUUUUGCUUUACGAUACUCAGCUGUCAUGAGAUGAAUGCCAGGUUCUUAUAUUAGCGCCCUGUUUGGUUCUCUUUGAAUUUGUACCUUAGUGUUUCAAUCUCUAAUGUACAAUUUCUUUUCCUUUGCACAGUUUUCAAAGGAAUUUUACAUUUCAUGUAGGCCUUGUGCCUAUUACAUUGGUUCUUCCUAACGUGGGUGCUUGGGAGCAAUGAAAUAUAAAUGUUCUUCCCAAUUUGUAUGCUAUUACAGGCAAGUGGAGGUGCUAGCCCUGAAGGCUGUAUAUGGACUUGACUUCAUUUUAUUAACAAGCUUGUUUUAAGCUCAGGUUACUUAACACACCAUUGACACAUAAGGCAAUAAUAGAUGUUUCUUGUGGGGUACUUUCUUCCUUUGUAAGCUGCCCCCAUGGGUUGGUUGGGACUUGUGGAAGCUGCUGCCUUGGUGCAAAAGGGAAGGUCAGUCAGCUCAAGUUGUCUGUCAUUUGGGUGGCAGUGCCUGUAGGAUGUGUGCAAGCAGCACACUCUGUCAAUAGCUGGCAAGUUGUGGUCUCUGCAGCACACAGAACUGUGCUGCUGGAAGUCAGCUUAGUCUUUAUUUUACUAAACAUCUGGAAAAUCUCCAUUAACAUACGGUAGUUAAGUUCUGUUUCUGUUUGAACUGUAACUGUCUUCUAUUUUUUUUAAAUUUACUUUCACAGUAAUUAAGAGUUGUUUCAUAUCCUCGGGGUACGUGAAUACAGAUGCAUUCUCUUCCCUACCUGUAGUGACAAGUGUGUUCUUCCCCAUUGGCCUCUUCUGUCUUCUCUGAGGUUUCUUGGGUUAUGGUUCAAUAGAAGGGAAUUUAAAAUCUCACUCAAAUGACUCCUCUGGCUCUUGGUGCUUCCUUUUAUAUAUUGUGCAGGGCACAGAAGCCUCUGCUACCUGGGAAAGAGUUGAAAAAAUGACAUGGUAGAGCUGGGAUGCUCCUGUUGAAGCCUGAAUACCUUAUGCUGGCCAGAGCCUGCAGCAUCGAGGAGAGCACCCUUCCAGGGCUUUCUGUGGCAGCUGAUUAUGGGGCUUUGGAGGAACUGACUGAUUGUUGUUGGUGACUCCUGUGGUUCCAGAUAAGAAAAAGAAGCACAAAGACUAAUGUUGUGAUCCUAUGACAAACAUGUGAGCCUUGCUUCAUGGACCGGCAGGGAUGAGAAAUGUGAAUUUGGCAUCUCUUCAGUCUUUGAAACAACGCCAGCGUGUCAGGUUGGGUACACAGGGUAAGAAAUGGGAAAGUGGAGUCUAAAUACUAUUAAAUAAAAAACAAACAAAAACCAAAAAACCCACAGCAAAUAAGUUUUGCUGUAAUAAGAAUCUCAUCUUUACAGCAGUUGUACACCCUGUCAACUGAAGUGAGACUACAUUGUGUUUCCCGAGGGAACUUAUUUAUCCUCCUGUGACUUUUGUUUGUGGAAAUGAGAUGCUAAUCAGCUUGGUGUCACUAACUAACUUUGGUCAGCUGCCACUCUUAGUUUUUGCCAGUGAAUAGCUCUACUUAUGUUCUACUUAUCACAUGCCUUUCUUUUAGCCCACAGUUUUCUAACUAGACUCAAGACCUUUUCCUCAUGCUUACAGCCUGCAUCAGUACGUACACUGUCCCUGUGCAGCAGCGGAUUAUGCCGGUCAGUUUUAAUAAACUAUUAUUGAACUUGAGAA